Chenopodium quinoa (quinoa) is the source of this 4975-nucleotide long non-coding RNA. RefSeq lists it as uncharacterized. The transcript is spliced from 4 exons. The record is from RefSeq and is a predicted model, not a curated record. NCBI's taxonomy places the organism in Eukaryota, Viridiplantae, Streptophyta, Magnoliopsida, Caryophyllales, Amaranthaceae.
UUGUAAAGAGUUGGGUCUAAGUUUAAAGGGGCUAAAAUUGGGUUACACUUAAAAGGCUUUUUAUCCUAAUUUUUCUAUUUGUUUCUAAAACUUUCUAACGUCAAUUUUAAAAAUUCCCUAUUUUCCCCGAAUUAUGAACCCUAAAAACAAUCCCAAAUUCUAAAUCUUCUUGCUUGCUGCUCUCAAUUGUGGAUUCCGUCAUAUCACUUCAAUUUCCAAGUUUUUUUAACCAUGGAAAGUGAAUCAACUACAAUGUCAAUGCCGGUAGAUGAUUAGGUUGAUGAAUCUAAUGCCGCCCGUUAGCGUAAAAGGAGUAGGAAAUCUAAAGUUUGGCGAGAAAUGACGGAAGGAAAGAAUGCAAAAGGUGAGUGAAUUGCUAUUUGUAAGCAUUGUACAGUGGAGUUAAUUUCCCACAAUAAUAGUGACACAUCUCAUUUAAUACGUCAUUUGCUUGAUGUGUGUAAAAAACGAACUAGUGGACUUCCACUUGGGGAGACGGUUGAGGAUAAGGAAGAAUUUGUUUUUGAUAUGAGUGAAUUAAGAAAAGAGAUUUUAUUAUAUGUUGUUGAAGGCUCUCAUUCUUUUUCGACCGUAGAAGAAAAAGGUUUUAGGCGGAUGAUGUUAAAGGCUAAUUCUAAAUUUAAACCAUUUAGUCGAGCAACUUUAACAAGAGACCUUUUUUCUUUGUAUGCCUCUUAUAGAGAGAAAUUAUAAAAAAAUUGAGGAAUGCACCUGGACGAAUUUGUUUGACAACUGAUAAUUGGAAAUCAUCACAUACUUGGCAACAUUACAUUUGCAUAACCGCCCAUUUUAUUGAUCAUGAUUGGAAACUUUAUAAAAGGAUUAUUAAGUUCACAUCAUUGUCACCCCCCUUUGAUGGACAAAGCAUCUCCGAAGAGAUUUUUAUGUUUCUUAAUCAAUGGCAUUUAGAUGACAAAGUGCUUAGCUUAACGGUUGACAAUGCAAGUUACAAUGAUGUGAUGGUUAAACACAUGAAAAAUCGUCUUGGGUCAAGGGGUAUGUUUGUUAAUGGUGGUUAUUUUUUUCAUAUAAGAUGUUAUGCUCAUAUCAUCAAUAUUAUUGUCCAAUUCGGUCUAUCUUGUAUUGAGAACAUAUUAGAUAAGAUUAGAAACUUGGUAAAAUUUGUUAGAAGAUCAUCUUCUAGAAGCAAGGACUUUUAUGAUACCGCUCAAAAGCAUUUUCAUUUAGAGGCUAAGAGGAAACUUCGUAUGGACAUGCAAGUUUGUUGGAACUCUACAUAUAUGAUGCUUGAUAAUGUGCUUUACCAUAAAGAUGUGUUUAUUCAUUUGGGUUCAUUACAUGCAUCUUUCAAUAGUAAUGUGCCUUUGGAUGACGAAUGGGAAAAUUUGAGUGUUGUUCACAAGUUUUGUUACAUGUAUGUUCUCGGCCAAUAAGUCUCCAACUUAUAACAUGUAUUUUAAGGGAGCAUGUAUGGUCACUACUACAAAAUUCAUGGAAUCUCGACGCCAUAGCCUCGACGCUGCUGGGUUACCGUCAAGGUGAAAUGACAUAUCCCGUGGUUUGGCGACGCUUUUCUAGGUCGAACUAAUUUAUUGACUUGGAAAAGCGUCGAGAUUUAGUGAUAUAUCACAUGUCCCGGACGUGAGAUAUUAGAUAAGCCGCAUACAAAUCUAAGAAAGGGAAGAUGAUAAACUACUGCUUUCAACACUGUUGAAAAAUCCCUCAUUUCUACCAGAUCUACUCUCCACCGCAGCAAAUCUAUCUAAAUUGUUUAACUGGUUUGCAAUCUUCUUGCUUGAUGAAUUGAAUAUUUUAUAGAUGUAUCAAUUUCUUCCAUGACCGGCCUAUUUUCAUACAGAUUUCAGGUAUUAUCUUAUUACUCUUUAGAUUUUGAUUUUAGGGUUUCAAUAUCAUACUUUUUUCUUCUGAUAAAUCUCUUUUAAUUUAUCAUGGAUGAAGAAAAGAUGAAGAAAGGAGUAAUGGAUUGUGAAUUCGUUGUCAUGAAGUAGUCAAUUCUCACCUUUACAUACAAGUAUAUUCCCUCCUUUAGAUUACUAUUUUUCAAACUGCUUGAGUAUAAAUUUCAUCGAUUUCUAAUGAUUAGGUUUGAUUUUGUUUGUUUUGGCGAUUUAGGGUUUGAGAAUUUUGUUAUUAAUUAAUUGAUAAAUCAAUUGGGUAAAAAUGUUGUCAAGAAAACAUUUUUUUUUAUUUAUUUUUUUUUAAAAUAAUCGAUUAAAAUCUGAUUUAGUAGCAAGUUUUUCAUUUUAAUAUUUAUAUAUUUUGUGUAAAUUUUGUUCUUUUAGUUUAUCUUGUGCAAAAUAUGUUAAAUCAGUUAUCAUAUAUAGCAAUCAUUAGGGUGAAGGUUAUGCUAUGAAAUUCUAUAUAUUUGCUCUUGCAAUUGUCUAUUGUAAUCAUCUAUAAUUUUUAGGAUCAAGUGUGUGUAUUGAUGUUGUGCUUUGCUUGGAACCCGUGAUAUUGAAGAAAUUGGAGACAAAGGCAUCUACUUUUGAAAGGGCCUUUUGGCAUUCAUGGAGCAUCACUUGUUUUUAAAGCUGGAGACAAAGGCAUCUACUCAGAGAUAUGGGCAGAACAACUUCUAAGCAUGUAUGUCAAUUGGGCUGAAAAGCAAGGUUACAAAGGUAGAGUAUUGGAGAAGUGUUCCUCGAACAGUGGGGGCAUUAAGUCUGCCACUAUUGAGUUUGAAUUUAAGUAUGUUUAUGGAUUUUUUAUUGGCGAAAGAGGUGUUCACCGCAUGAUCUAAUGAGUUCACUUGAAAAAACAAGUUGCCAUGAGGUACACUUUGCUUAACUAGUGCUGAUUUCUAAAAGUGCAUUUAUUAUCACCAGAUGAUCUAAUUUCUACAUAAAGCUGAUAUAAUACUUCCAUUUGGAUUCAAUAAUAACAUUGCAAAUUCAAUAUUUGGUAUAGUAACAAUUAUUUCAGGACAGAGGUUGAGAGGUAUAAUGAAAGCCUAUAGCUAGUAACUAUUAUAGGAUAAACCAUAAGGUCAUUUACAUGGUAUCAUUAUCAGGCCAAUGAUAGUCAAAAGGUCUUAAAGCUUGAAUUUGUGGCCUCGUUAUUCUAACAGUGAAAUAUGUCGGCAUAAGAUAUGAGGAGGGCGGGUGCAUCAUCCGCACUUCAAUUCAAGUCAGUUUGAAAAGCACAACUGGUGAUAUCGAUAUGUAACUCUGUAAGCAUUGGUACAAAAAAAAUACUAUAAGAAUUUUUGGGCAGUUUUACAGCUUCCAAAGAUGUAUACACCUUAUAGCUUACUAGUAUUGAAAUAGCUUAUAUUUUUUAACACUCAACAUUCUUUGCUUUGUAUAGUGUAGAAAUUGGUUGAGCUUUCCGUGAUAUUAUUUAAUAUCUCACUGUUCCCUGAUUUUAUGUGCAUGUCAUCUUAGCAGCUAUGGAUGUCAUUCCUCUAUUUCUUGAGACGAUCUCUGACUUACCAUUAGAUGAUAAUGAUCUAAUUAUAUCCUAUUUGCCGAGUGAAAAUGAUACAGGACCAAUUGUACACGUUGUUCAUAUUCAGCAUGAUCCUAAAGGCAUAUGCGUGCAAUCCUCAUGUAUGACAAGCUGACUUCUGUGUUCAUGAUUAUGAUGGUAGUGGGUAGCAUAUAAGGGAAAUUGUGAUUGACAUUAUGCAUAUCCUAGCUCGAGUCUUGAGAUUUGUGAAGGGUGAAUCUGUGAUCUACACAACUUUUGAUUGCUCUACAAUGAAGAAGAUUGUGCAGCCAAUCCUUUUUUUGCUCAAAUUCAGCAGGCCCUGGCUUCCAUCUUUAUUGAGAGGCUGCUAUGGCUCUCAAAAAAAUGUUUCAAGGUCUGAACUGAUUGCCACGCUAGCUUGGGCCUCUCUUGGCACUGUAGGAAUAUGUCCACCUUUGAGAAGAAUUCAUUUAAUGAUGUUGAGGUUUCCAGGGGGGUUGUGAAUAUGGUGCGUGAAAGUAAUGAGUAUACUGGAAGGGUUGCUAGAAGACCCAGCCAAAUCUGCCCACCAGUCAGUUCGUGGAGUUACGUUGCCCAAGUCAGAGAAGGGUCAAGGUAAAUCGUGAUGCCCAUUUGGGCAUUAAAACCGGCUUGGGGGCUGUGAUCAGAAAUGAUCAAGGGACUGUUGUUGCUGCUGCAGUGGGGCAGGAGGGUACAGGGUGGGAUGUAGGGUGUGCGAAAGUUGUUGCCUGUCAGUAUGGUCUACUUGUGGCGAAGAGGUUGGGAUACUCUGAUGUUCAGCUUGAAGGGUCAAGGUAAAUCGUGAUGCCCAUUUGGGCAUUAAAACCGGCUUGGGGGCUGUGAUCAGAAAUGAUCAAGGGACUGUUGUUGCUGCUGCAGUGGGGCAGGAGGGUACAGGGUGGGAUGUAGGGUGUGCGAAAGUUGUUGCCUGUCAGUAUGGUCUACUUGUGGCGAAGAGGUUGGGAUACUCUGAUGUUCAGCUUGAAGGGUCAAGGUAAAUCGUGAUGCCCAUUUGGGCAUUAAAACCGGCUUGGGGGCUGUGAUCAGAAAUGAUCAAGGGACUGUUGUUGCUGCUGCAGUGGGGCAGGAGGGUACAGGGUGGGAUGUAGGGUGUGCGAAAGUUGUUGCCUGUCAGUAUGGUCUACUUGUGGCGAAGAGGUUGGGAUACUCUGAUGUUCAGCUUGAAAGUGAUGCCUUGAAUGUGGUGAAUGCUGUCCGAAACAAUGCCAAAGGAUUUUCCCUUGUGUUUCUCCUAUAUGAUAAUAUUUGUAGGCUUUUUUCAGUUUUAGUUCGUUUUUAAUUUCUUAUGUAAAGCAUUCGGGUAAUACAUUAGCUCAUAAUGUCGCUAGAUGGGAGACUAGAAAUUGUGACGAAUUUGUAUCUUUGGGUCCUUUUCCUCAAAGUUUAUUGACUUUGGCGGAAAUUGAUCUUCUUUAAUAUAUUUUUCCCGUUGCUUGACCUCAAAAAAAAAAAUAUGCGACAUUUUUUUUAAUUAAUUGUAUUGAUGUUUUCUUUAAUAAAUUUAGUAAUUAACUACGUACUA